CCUACGGGUGACAGCAGUGAGGAAUAUUGGUCAAUGGGCGCGAGCCUGAACCAGCCAAGUCGCGUGAGGGAUGAAGGUUCUAUGGAUCGUAAACCUCUUUUAUCAGGGAAUACAGUGUGGGACGUGUCCUAUUUUGUAUGUACCUUAUGAAUAAGCAUCGGCUAACUCCGUGCCAGCAGCCGCGGUAAUACGGAGGAUCCGAGCGUUAUCCGGAUUUAUUGGGUUUAAAGGGUGCGUAGGCGGCCCUUUAAGUCAGCGGUGAAAGUUUGUGGCUCAACCAUAGAAUUGCCGUUGAAACUGGGGGGCUUGAGUAUGUUUGAGGCAGGCGGAAUGAGUGGUGUAGCGGUGAAAUGCUUAGAGAUCAGGCAGAACCCCGAUUGCGAAGGCAGCCUGACAAGCCAUGAAUGACGCUGAUGCACGAAAGCGUGGGGAUCAAACAGGAUUAGAGA
This 449-nucleotide ribosomal RNA is filed under the name uncultured bacterium. RNAcentral's name for it is "partial 16S ribosomal RNA". It matches the Rfam family "Bacterial small subunit ribosomal RNA", at positions 338 to 784 of the family's 1533-position model. The record is from RNAcentral.